This is a long non-coding RNA of Octopus sinensis (East Asian common octopus), 311 nucleotides long. RefSeq lists it as uncharacterized. The transcript is spliced from 4 exons. The record is from RefSeq and is a predicted model, not a curated record. Lineage: Eukaryota; Metazoa; Mollusca; Cephalopoda; Octopoda; Octopodidae.
UGCCACUGGCAUGGGUUUCCUGUUACAAGAUACCAGCAUCAGCUAUGACCACGAUUUCACUUGGUAUGACAGGCCUUCUCAAGCAGAGCAUAUCACCAAAGGUCUUGGUCACUACUAAUUGCCUCUGUGACGCCCAAAGUGCAAAGAUCAUACUUCACCAUCUCGUCUGAUGUCUUCCUGGGUCUACCUCUACCACAGGUUUCCUCUACAGUUAAAGAUUACCACCUCUUUACACAGCUGUCUUUGUCCAUAUGCAUCACAUGACCAUACCAACACAGUCAUCUCUCUUGCACACCACAUCUGAUGAUUCU